UAAUACCUCUGGAUUUUGGAACCUGACU
This 28-nucleotide non-coding RNA is filed under the name Mus musculus (house mouse). Lineage: Eukaryota; Metazoa; Chordata; Mammalia; Rodentia; Muridae. The record is from RNAcentral.